UACGUAGGAUGCAAGCGUUGUCCGGAAUUAUUGGGCGUAAAGAGCUCGUAGGCGGUUUGUUGCGUCGGCUGUGAAAUCCCGAGGCUCAACCUCGGGUCUGCAGUCGAUACGAGCAAACUAGAGUGUUGCAGGGGAGACUGGAAUUCCUGGUGUAGCGGUGAAAUGCGCAGAUAUCAGGAGGAACACCGGUGGCGAAGGCGGGUCUCUGGGCCGAUACUGACGCUGAGGAGCGAAAGCGUGGGGAGCGAACAGG
RNAcentral lists this ribosomal RNA (253 nucleotides) under uncultured bacterium. RNAcentral's name for it is "partial 16S ribosomal RNA". It matches the Rfam family "Bacterial small subunit ribosomal RNA", at positions 524 to 776 of the family's 1533-position model. The record is from RNAcentral.